Molecule: ribosomal RNA, 474 nt
Filed under: uncultured bacterium
Lineage: Bacteria
Description: bacterial SSU rRNA
Rfam family: Bacterial small subunit ribosomal RNA
Source: RNAcentral
CGAACGUUGGAGGGAUGUUUUAAGCAUGCAAGUCGAGCGGUAACAGAGGAGCUUGCUCCUGCUGACGAGCGGCGAACUGGUGAGUAACGCGUAGUUAUCUGCCUUACAGACUGGGAUAGCCAUUGGAAACAGUGAUUAAUACCGGAUAUUGCCUACGGGUGAAAGGCGCGUUUUGCGCCACUGUAAGAUGAGAUUGCGUCCUAUUAGCUAGAUGGCGGGGUAAGAGCCCACCAUGGCGACGAUAGGUAGCCGGCCUGAGAGGGUGAACGGCCACAUUGGGACUGAGAUACGGCCCAGACUCCUACGGGAGGCAGCAGCUAAGAAUAUUCCGCAAUGGACGAAAGUCUGACGGAGCAAUCCCUCGUGAGCGAUGAAGGCCUUCGGGUUGUAAAGCUCUUUCGCCAAGGAAGAAAAGCCAGUGCAGGAAAUGGCAUUGGUCUGACGGUACUUGGAUAAGAAGCACCGACUAAAUAC